ACCCUACUGGAACCAUGUUUUAGGGUACUGGAGAGCAAGCUUGGAGUUCCCCGAGAAGAUACUGUUCUUGACAUAUGAGGAAAUGAAGAAAGACACCGCUGCUCAUGUUAAGAAAUUAGCUGAGUUCAUGGGUUGUUCUUUCACCCUAGAGGAAGAGGAGGAAGGGGAGGUGCAAAAGAUAAUAGGCAUGUGUAGUUUUGAGAAGUUGAGCAACUUGGAGGUGAAUAAAAAUGGGAAGUGCCUUCUAGACAUAUCAAUUCCUAUUCCAAAUAGUAUAUACUUCAGGAAAGGUGAGAUAGGCGACUGGGCAAAUCACUUGACACCUGAAAUGGGAGCACGUCUAGAUGACAUAAUGGAGCGGAAGCUCAAGGGUUCAGGCUUGAAGCUGCCCAGGUGACUGCGCCUGGGUCCCAUUUGCUUCUGAUUAUUGCCGAAGUGGGUUCAUCAAAAGCUGUUAUCAACAUCUCGUGAAACAGCAACUGUGUAUCCCAAUAAAUACCCUCUCUGUUCAUCUCUUGUAUUUCCUAGCAAGUAUUCACAUUUUGUGAAUAAUCCAUGUGAAUAAGCAAUGUUCUUUUGUGAAUCUGUGUUUGUAACUUUCAUUGAUUUCCUUGCAAGUUUGUAAGAAUUAAAAAUGGGAUUCGUUUUUUAUUUAUUUAUUUAACACAAGUGCAUGCAUUCCAUUAAUCAGUGAUAAAAAAAAAAAAAUUACUCUACUAUAUAAUAUUAGAGUGUUUUCUUCACAGAAAUUGCAGUGUGUUUUCUUCCCACUGCAAUACAUGUUUUAAAAGAACCGAGACAACCAUACAUGAGGGCGGAGCAAAUACCAACCGAGACAACCAUCCAUUAAGAUUGUUGAAUUGAAGAUCAAAUGAACAUAGGCGGCACAUCUGCUGAAAGGAUCUCGAAAUGCCUUGUAAUUGGUUAAAAUAAAGAUCAAGAUCUGUAGGAGAACUCGUGUUUUCCACUCCUAAAAUAAGCCCAGUUGCCGGCUUCAUGUGCAACAGAGGCACAUAGAGAAUCUGAAAGCAGUUUUUAUGCACUAUCAGCAGAAUAAUUUGAUCAGUCAGAAUGAUCCCCCCCCCACUAGGCUCAGAUCACAAUUCUUCUUACUUCAAACAAAUCUUUUGGAACCGAUAUGUGGAGGGAUGGCUUGAUUUAUACCGGAGAUUUUGUUGGAAAAUUAAAGAAGCAUGGCUUAAUUUGUACCUUGGAUGCGCAAAUUGAUUACAGGGAAAAAAAUGACAGAAAGUGAGUUGCAGGGAAUGAAAAAGGCAUUAGUAAACUCAACAGCUUGCAGGGCAUCGUUCCUUGGUUUACUCCGUUUUAUUUCUUAUUUUGUUUUUCCUGCCAUUGUCUUAUGUUUGUCUAACUCGCAGUCUGGUCUCUGCAGAGAAUGAGAAAGCACAGACUCUUUAAGAGAAGAUAUUCUCCGGCAAUGGCAUCAAACAGAAAAGUCCGACGUUAACUAAAUGAGUUCAUGGGUCUCUUGUCUGAAUAUAGAAGUGCAGAAACUAAGCUUGACCAAAAACCCCCAUGCUACCAACUACAACUCAACAAGCAACAAAUCAAAUGAAUUGUGAUCCGCCAGUAAACAGCGAAUGGACACUGCCCCAGCAAUAGAUCAUACAAGCUCUGACCAACCGGUCAAAGAUCACGAGGACCCUACCCACUGCCCACUGACUGACAAUUCAUCAAAUAGAUUUAUUGCCGUUCACCACCUUAUUUAGAUGUAUUUUUAAAUAAUAUCCGUGAACUCAAAAAAAAAUCACUCAAAUAUCUCCCUAGAAAACUGACCUUGAACUCUUAACUAGGAGAAAAACAAAGAGGAAAAAUAGAGCUUAUAACAUAGGAAACUACGCUGAAAACUGAGGUGAAAAAAAGUGUAAGAAAUUCUGUAAAAAUGUCCAGAAACACUUUUUAUCACUUUUUACAGAGGAUUUUGAAACCUAAACCAAUGUAGAUUUACUUUUAGUAAUUAUUAAAAAUUAAUUUUUAUCAUUAUCAAUCUUAAUUAUCCGUUAUAAAUUAAAAUUAACCUUAACCCUUUUAGCUUUAAAUAUAAUGCUUUGUUAGAAUUAUAAAAACCAUUCAAAUUGAAAAAAAUUGCUUAGGCUGAAAAAAGUGUUCAGACUCUAUAUUCAUUGACAGUACAAACUGAUGGAUUAGAAAGAAAAAAAAUAUAUAGGCCAAAAAAUUAUAAAUCCAAACCCAAGUUUAAAAUAUAUUGAUAAAAAUUAAUUAUUUAUAGUUUACAAUAAAAUCAGACUUGGGACAAGCAAGCCAAUUAAGCAUGGGACUUCAACUCAAAGUUUACUUUACUUAGGUUUUUUUUUUUAAUCUGAGUGUAUUUUAAUCCAAUUUUAAUUCUUUAUAUUUUUAAUAUAUAAUUAACAAUAAAAAUGUUGUUUUUUUUACGUGAAAUAAAGGUUUUGAAUUUCACAAAGAUAUAUUCAUCAACAAAAUUAAAUUUUUAUUUAUUUAUAAUUUAUUUUAAUUAUUUUAAUAUUUUAUGUUAAAGAGAUUUGGUUGGAGAAUAAGUUUCAAUAAAAUUUAAAUCCGAAAAAUAAGUAGAUUUUAUUUUUAAUUUUAUUUCAAAUAUAUUUAUUUUUUAUGUUUUAAAACAAAUUUUAUCUCAUCUAUGUAUGUAUAAAUAUAUAAUCACAAUUCUCAAUACAGCACUUAUAGUUAGUUAUCGAACGAAAGAAUGUUAUCUCUUUCAGUAUGCCACAGAUAUUCAAAACACGGCGGUCACCCUUAUUAGCUUGCAGUCGUCUAUCGAAGUAUUAUCGCCAAAUCCACAGAAGCAAGGCAAACCACAGUUUUCUCUAGUUAUAGGACUAGACGGUACUGCGCUAGACUGCAGGUUUACAAUAUUUUUUCGAUAAAAUAUUUAAAUCAUGAGAAAAUCAUGCAUGAUUAAAAGAGUAAAAUUCAAAUUAAAAAUAUCAAUACAUGACAAAAUAAAAUUAAAAAAAAUUAAAUAAAAUUUUUAUAAAAAAACUAGAAUAAAAGAGAGGACUGAAACCGAAAAAGUUUAAACAAAAAGGACAUACCUGCAAUUUGAGGGGGGGAGGGAGGAGGAGAAAAAAAAAGGUUCAUCAACAACGAACUGCUCGACCUUCACCUACAUGUAUCGCACCAUGAGAAAGAGGAAGCAGUGAUGCUUCCAACAACACAAUAAAAUGUUUAUUUUUACAACUAGAGGUAUUGCAUGCUAUACUUGAAGUGCUAGCUUUUUAAAUUUUAAUAUUAUUUAUUUUUUUGUUAAAAGAUUACAAUGCGCAAACUAAAAAGAAAAACAAUAUAAAAAGAUAAAGUAUAACCUUGACCUAAAGCUUUUCUUUUUCUUUUUACUUCAAGGAUAUUUAAGUAAGUUUAGUGUACAUUCAAAAGCAUUUAAUGAAAUACCCUUCGACCAAGGUUUUUUUUUUUUUUAAAGUAUAAGACACUUAACAAAAUAAUAAAUAACAAAAAUUAAAAACUUAAAAAGACAAAAAAUACCCUUCGACCAAGGUUUUUUUUUUUUACUCCAAAGCAUUUAAUGAAUCUCGCCCAUAACGACAGCAAGUCUUUAAAAAGUGGAUUUCCUGAUGAAACCUGGAUAGUAUCAGUGCCAGCUCGAGCUCAGAAUGCGGCAUCUAUUGAUUAACUUACCAGUUACCAACACAAGGAGACACACACAACAACUUUAAAAAGGGCAUUAUAUAGCUAAACAUUGAUUAUUAUUUUUAUUUCAUUUUUAAUAUUAUAUUAAUUUUAAAUAUAUAUAUUUUUAAUUUCUCCAUUCAAUAACAAGUUGAAAUUCAUAAUUUUAUUUAAUUCAUUUCUUAUAAUAAUUUUUUUCCCAUCGUUUAAUUAAAUAAAAUAUUUAUUAUAAAAAAUAAAAUUAUUAAACAUAAUUGAGUAUAUGGCUUGUAUUUUUAGGUUAAAUAUUGUAAUUAGAUGUGGGUAUAAGCAUUUUAAUUUAUAAUUAAAAAGAAAAACUAUAUCCAAAAAAGAAUUUAAAAAACCUGUAUAUUUAUUUUUCAAUUAUCUAACCUGCAGCAGUGAAGUGCAAUUGAAAUAGCUAGUAAUCUAACUAAAAAAUUUAAGAUAAGAUUAAGAAAUGAGAAGUUUAUUUGUCAGCAGACAGUAGCUUCAGUAAAUAGAAAAUAUAGACUGUACUGCUGCUGAUCCCGGGAUCAAUGCCCACCUUCAUGGAUUAUAUAUAUAUAUAUAUAUAUAUAUAUAUUCAAUGUGAGAUAUUAAGUCAUUUAGUACAUACUAGUUAGAUGACUUGUGCGGUGCUGCGAGUUAAUUUUUUUUGCAUAAAAAUAUAUAAAAAAACUAAAAUCUAAAAGUAUUAGGUCUUUUUGCAAAGUUAUACCCAAGAAUCUUGGGUUUGGCUGCAACGCCUGACCCAAGAGUAAUAUUUAUAAUAUUAAUUAUAACAUUAAACUUGCAUGACUCAAGUUUAAAUGAGUCUAGAUGCAAUACCAUACCCAAUAGUCUUGGAUGUGGGUCUGGCUGCAAGGUCGUGUAAUAAAAGUGUGAUAAUUAAAUAGAUUAAUUAAAAAUAAAAAAAACAAAGAAAAAAACAAACAUGAAGAAAAAAACUAAUGAAGAAAAAGAAAAAAAAUUUGAAUUAACUGGGUUAACCCUUCAAACCAGGUUAAUCCGUCAAACCUUGGAUUCGUGUCGUGAAAGUUUGAUAACUAAAUAAAAAAAAAAUGAACAUUAACAAACUAAAUUAAAUGAAAAAAAUAAUUAAAAAAAAAAGCAUCAGCCUUUUCACUGUGGACUGCACUGUGCAGUCCACAGUCAAAUGCAUAAAAACAACAAAAAAGCAAAAAGAAAAACUAAAGGCAUCAAUCGAUAACUAAAUAGAAAAAAAAUUUAAUAUUGAUGAACUAAAUUAAAUAAAAAAAAUUAAAUAAAAAGAAGAAAAAACUUAUAAGAAGAAAAAAACUAAUGAAGAAAAAGAAAAAAAAUCUAAAUUAACUGGGUUAACCCGUCAAACCUGAGAUCCGUGUCAUGAAAGUCUGACAACUAAAUAAAAAAAAUUUAAUAUCAAUAAACUAAAUAAAAAAAUUAAUUUAAAAAAAAGGCAUCAGCCUUUUCACCGUGGAUUGCACUGUGCAGUCCAUAGUGAAAGGCAUGAAAAUAAAAAAAACAAAAAAAAACUAAAGGCAUCAGCCUUUUCACUGUGGACUGCAUAGAAUAUUAAAAGAUGAAAUCGGAAGAACAAAACUAAUGAGGAAAAAGAAAAAAAAAAUCUGAAUCAACUAGGUUAAUCCGUCAAAUCAAGUUAACCCGUCAAACUUGAAAGUGUGAUAACUAAAUAGAAAAAAGAUUUAAUAUUAAUGAAAUAAAUUAAAAAAAGAUUAAUUAAAAAGGAAAAAAGCAAAGAGAAAAAAGACCAACAGGAAGAAAAAAACCUAAUGAAGAAAAAGGAAAAAAAUCUGAAUUAAGUGGGUUAACUGGUCAAACCUGGGAUUCGUGUCAUGAAAAUCUGAUAAUUAAACAGAAAAAAUUUAAUAUUAAGAAACUAAAUUAAAAAAAGACUAAUUAAAAAAAGACAAAAAAAAACUAAAGGCAUCAGCUUUUUCACUCUUAAAAAGGAAAAGAGAGAAAAAUAAAAACAAAAGCAAACGCCACGGGUUAAUUUUUUUUUUCUUGCAUAAAAAAUAUUAAAAAAAACUAAGAUCUAAGAGUAUUAGGUCUUUCUGCAAAGAUAUGCCCAAGAGCCUUUGGUUUAGUUGCAACGCUUGACCCAAGAGUAAUAUUUAUAAUAAUAAUAAUAAUAAUAAACUUACAUGACUCAAGUUUAAGUGAGUCUGGCUGCAAGGUCGUGUCAUAAAAGUGUGAUGAUUAAAUAUAUUAAUUAAAAAGAAAAAAACCAACAUGAAGAAAAAAACUAAUGAAGAAAAAGAAAAAAAUAUGAAUUAACUGGAUUAACCCUUCAAACCAGGUUAACCCGUCAAACCUGAGAUUCAUGUUAUGAAAGUUUGAUAACUAAAUAGAAAACAAAAUUGACGGGUUAACCUGUCAAGCCUGGGAUACGUGUCAUGAAAGUCUGAUAAUUAAAUAGAAAGAAAUUUAACAUUAACAAAAUAAACUAAACGAAAAAAAAUUAAUUUAAAAGAAAAAAAGUAAAAAAAAAAUUCUAGGUUAACUCAUCAAACCAAAUUAACCCAUCAAAUCCGGGAUCCGUGUCAUGAAAGUCUGAUAACUAAAUAAAAAAAAUAACAUUAACAAACUAAAUUAAACAAAAAAAAUUCAUAAAAGAAAAAAAAACACAGAAAAAAAACAAAAAAAACAUAAAGGCAAAAAAAACAAAAACAAAAUUAAGUGAGAAUUACUGAUGUGCUUUGCCAAGCUUUGCAACAGAAAUCUCAAGACAUUUUAAAUGCUAUGCAUUUGCUGACUACCAUAAAGACUUUAAUUCAGAAGUUAAGAGAUGAUGGAUUGGAAACUCUUUUAGAACAAGUGACAUCAUUUUGUAAGCAUAAAAACAUUGAAGUUCCUGAUAUGGAUGCUUGUUUUUCUAGUGUGGGACGAUCUCGCUGUAAAACAAAAUCAAUAACAGUUGAGCAUCACUAUCGAGUUGAUAUAUUUAUAGCUAUCAUUGAUCAAUAGUUGCAAGAGCUAAAUAAUAGAUUCUAUGAGCAGGCGAUCGAGCUUCUUAAGUUGAGCAUAGCUUUAGAUCCUAAAAAUAACUAUAAAUUAUUCAGUGUUGAAGAUAUAUGCUAACUUGUUGACAAGUUCUAUCCUGAAGACUUUUCUGACCAAGAAAAAACUCAUUUGAGAUUUCAGUUGCAGCAUUAUGAGCUUGAUGUACCCAAUCAUCCAAAGUUAAAGAAUAUGUCAUCGAUUGCUGAUUUAUGUCAAGGACUGGUUGAAAUAGAAAAAUCAACAAUUUAUCUACUCAUUGAUAAGUUGAUUCGACUUAUUUUGACUCUUCCUGUUUCGACAGCAACUACUGCACGAGCUUUUUCAGCGAUGAAGAUUGUUAAAACAAGACUUCGCAAUCGGAUGGAGGAUGAUUUUCUUGCAAAUUAUUUGAUUGUCUAUAUAGAAAAAGAAAUUGCUGAAAGAUUCACAAUUGAUAUGAUAAUCGAUGAUUUCUACUCCAUGAAAGAAAGACAAAAACAAUUAAAAUAAAUAUGUAAGAAUCAUUCUUUAUUACUUUUUAUUUUAUUUAAAAGUUUUAUCAAACAUAAAUAAUGUAUCGCUUUAGCUAAUGUUUCUUAUAUAUUUUGUAUGUUUAUAUUUGAUAGGUACAAAAACCAACAAAAUUAAAGUGAUGAAUACAUUAUGAAGAUGAAAUUAACUUCAUAGCUUUGACUUAAUUUGAUAUUUGCUUUAAACAUCUUAUCUUAUACAAAAAUCAUAAUAUGUUUGUAAUUACUUUUUUGAAUAAAACUAAAUCAUGUCGUUUUUGUUUUUGUUUUUAUUUUUAUUUUUAUGUAAAGUAAAUUUUUAAAUAAAUUAUAUCUUUUAUUAUUUUAACCCCCAUUCAAAUAAUCCCAGCCCCUGACCGCAAUAACAAUCAAAAUAAAAUCUAAUUCUACCGGCUGCUAAGAAUACUAAAAUAGUGUAAAUUUUGACUUAAUUCAAUUAUUAGAAUUCGGGGCAGAUAACAGUGUUGAAGAAAAUGUCAGAAAAGUAGGGUAAACAGUACAAAUACCUUGGAUGAUGGUGACUAACGCCGUUUGUUUACGCGGGCGCGGGUGCGGUUGCCUUUUAAUUAAUAAAUAUCGGUAGUUGGAGACUUCUUGUUCUCGAAAAGAAAUAGUUAAUAGUGCCAAUAAUUAAUCUGCUCUCAACUUGCUACAAGCUGUCAUUACUCAUUACCAAAAUAUUAAAGAAACAAAUAUUUCCUAUUAGUAGAAAAGCGAUCUAAUAAAGCGAUUGUUCAGUUGACGUUAUUGAAUUGCUUUUUUAUAAAAAGUUAAUUUUUAAAUAUUUAUAGAUUAUUUUAUAUAUAAAUUUAAAAAAAAUCUUAAAAAAUUUAAAAAUAUAUUUUAAUAUAAUUAAAAAAAACAUUUGAAAAACAAUUAAUAGUAUAGUCUCAGGUCUCAACCACCCAAAAUAUACAUUUGAAAAACAUUUUAUAUACCUUGGAUUAAAUUGUGUUGUAGGUUCCACACCAUUUAAAGCUUGCAAAGAAGGAUUUAAAACACAAUCACGCUAAAGAUUUGCAAUCCAAUAUAAUAUGAAAUAAAACCCCAUUGCAUCACCGGACAUGUGAUCAAUAAUAUUAAAAUACUGUAAAUUUUGAUUUAAUUCAAUUAUUAGAGCUUGAGGCAGCGUGACAAUGUGAAAGAAAAUGUCAGAAAAUCUUGGAUGAUGGUGACCAUAUCAGUAAUUUGAGACAGCAAGUUCUCGAAAGGUAAUAGUUGAUGGUACCAAAAAUUAAACCAGCUCUCAACUCGCUACAAAUAGCUGCCAUGGCCUUUCGUUCUACAUUAUAUUUCUUUUUUUACUUUCAUGGAAUCCUCUUUGCCUUCCACCCCAAUCUUGGAUUCUGGUGAAAGUGCAGAGAGGAAAAAUGAAGCAAAAAAUUACAAUGAAGUAAUGUACACCCUUCCAAAAGUUAAAGGCUUGAGGGGGAAUGAUUAUUACCUGUACCAAGGCUUUUGGUACUCUUCCUUCUUCUUGGAAGGACUCAUGUCUGUUCAAGAGCACUUCAAUCCUCAAUCCACUGAUAUAUUUCUCACCAGUUCUCCAAAAACUGGCACAACUUGGCUUAAGGCCCUCGCUUUUGCUAUUCUUACACGAUCCCGUUUAAGUGGUUCAACAACUAGUUCUUUACUUACCAAGAUGCCACAUGACUGUGUUCCUUUUUUGGAAUAUCACCUUGCUCAAAACCCAAGUAAUCGGGACUUGGCAAUUCCCCUGCUAUCUACUCAUGUUCCUUACAGUUGUUUACCUAAAUCUAUCAUUUCUUCUAGUUGCAAGAUUAUUUACAUUUGCAGGGACGCAAAGGAUGCUUUUGUUUCUUUGUGGUGCUUUUUUCCGCGCAUCAAAUGUCGAAAAAUGUUGAACCUCUUCCUCUGGAAGAGGCCUUUGAGAUGUUUUGCAACGGAAUUUCAGUCUUGGGACCAUAUUGGGACCAUGUUUUAGGGUAUUGGAGAGCAAGAUUUGAGUUCCCUGAGAAGAUAUUGUUCUUGACAUACGAGGAAAUGAAGAUAGACACCGCUGCUCAUGUUAAGAAACUAGCUGAGUUCAUGGGUUGUUCUUUCACCUUCGAGGAAGAGGAGGAAGGGGAGGUGCAAAAGAUAAUAAGCAUGUGUAGUUUUGAGAAGUUGAGCAACUUUGAGGUGAAUAAAAAUGGGAAGCACCGUCCCGUCCGGACACAUCAAUUGCUAUUCAAAAUAGUUUAUACUUUAGGAAAGGUGAGAUAGGCGACUGGGCAAAUCACUUGACACCUGAGAUGGGAGCGCGUCUAGAUGACAUAAUGGAGCGGAAGCUCAAGGGUUCAGGCUUGAAGCUGCCCAGGUGACCGUGCCUGGGGUCCCAUUUGCAUAUGAUUAUUGCCGAAGUGGGUUCAUCAAAAGGUGUUAUCAGGAUGUCGUGAAACAGCAACUGUGUAUCCCAAUAAAUACCCUCUCUGUUCAUAGCAAGUAUUCACAUUUUGUGAAUCUUCCAUGUCAAUAAGCAAUAUUCUUUUGUGAAUCUGUGUUUGUGACUUUCAUUGAUUUCCUUGCAUGUUUGUAAGAAUUCAAAAUGGGAUUCGUUUUUUUUUUUUAUUUAACACAAGUGCAUGCAUUCCAUUCAUCAGUUUGAUAAAAAAUAAAUUUACUCUAAUAUAUAAUAUUAGAGUGUUUUCUUCACAGAAAUUGCAGUGUGUUUUUCUUCACAGCUAUACAUGUUUGAAAAGAACCGAGACAACCAUACAUGAGGGUGGAGCAAAGACCAACCGAGACAACCAUCCAUUAAGAUUGUUGAAUUGCAGAUCAAAUGAACGUAGGCGGCACAUCUACUGAAAGGAUCUCGAAAUGCCUUGUAAUUGGUUAAAAUAAAAGAUCAAGAUCUGUAGGAGAACUCGUGUUUUCCACUCCUAAAAUAAGCCCAGUUGCCGGCUUCAUUUGCAACAGAGACACAUAAAGAAUCUGAAAGCAGUUCUUAUGCACUAUCAGCAAAAUAAUUUGACCAGUCAGAAUGAUUUUUUUCCCCCUUACUAGGCUCAGAUCACAAUCCUUCUUACUUCAAACAAAUCUUUUGGAACCGAUAUGUCGAGGGAUGGCUUGAUUUAUACCGGAGAUUUUGAUGGAAACUUAAAGAAGCGUGGCUUAAUUAUACCUUGGAUGCGCAAAUUGAUUACAGGGAAAAAAUGACAGAAAGUGAGUUGCAGGGAAUGAAAAAGGCAUUUGUAAACUCAACACCUUUCAGGGCAUCGUUCCUUGGUUUACUCCCUUUUAUUUCUUAUUUUGUUUUUCCUGCCAUUGUCUAAGUUUUUCUAACUCGCAGUCUGGUCUCUGCAGAGAAUGAGACAGCAAAAACGCUUUAAGAGAAGAUAUUCUCCGGCAACGGCAUCAAACAGAAAAGUCUGACAUCAACUAAGUGCGUGUUUGACACUCCGGUUAUGUUUACAUAAAAAACAUCGUUGUCAUGUGUUUGGUUACAGUCUAAACAUAAUUUUCUGUUUGUGAGACCCGUUAUCAUUUGCUUUUAAACCGCAAGAUAACCAAAAGCAACUUCAAGCUGCCUUUUGUGUUGAGUUGCAAACUUUAUAAACAAAGGCCACAAGAAAAAGAGCAGAAACAUAGCAGUGAAUAGUAAACAGUGGAGAGUAGCUCCCUCUCACCACCGGCAUCCACCGUUUCCACCGCCAGCCACUGCUCUUCCUCUUCCCCUUCUCCUUCUCCUUUAUCUUCUGCAUUGUCCACUGUUCACGUUGCAUGUGAACAGUGGAGAGCAGCUCACCACCGGCCUCCGCUGUUUCCACCGCCAGCCACUACUCUUCCUCUUUCCCUUCCCCUUCUUCUUCUUCUUCUACAUUUUCCACUGUUCACAUGAACAGUGGAGAGCAUCUCCACUAUUCAUGGCCGGAUUGGGUCUGACCCAAACCUAAAUGCAUUGGACUGGGUCCGACCAAGUAAAAUAAAAAAAUCUAAAAACAUUUCUUAGAUAUUGUGUUUUAUUUGAAAAACUAGUGUUUAAAAUUAUUCAAUGACACUAUAUAAUUAUAUUAGAAGGAGAUCGCAUGAUGACAUAGCAUUUGCAGAAUUUGAUUGCAAUCCCAAUUUUGUUCCUAAUGAUAUUUUACCUGAUGUGAUGAUAUUUUACCUGAUGUUGGUAUACGUUCAAGAAGCCAUGAAAACUGUAGUUCUUGUCGGAUGGAUUUCGUACGUGAUUGAAUUGCAAAUAGUUUAAUAAAACAAUAAAAAAUACUUUAUAUAAAGUAUUGUUUAUUUCAUGAUUUAAUAGCAGUAGUUAAAUCUAUAAUAUUUCAAUUAAAAACCAUCAAUAUUAAUAUAUGUUUUUUUUAAUUAUUUUAUAACCUUAAUUUGAAAAAUAUUCUUUAAACCAAACACAUUAAACUACUUUUUGUUCAACCUCAAUUUCAACCACAAUUUUAACCAAAUAUAUAUUUUUUCAAACCAAUCUCAACUAAAAGUAAUUUUUAUAAAACAACUUUUUCAAACUAUAACCACAACAGCUACCACAAUACCAAAUACACAUAAAAAAAACUGUAAUGAUAAGCAAGUUAAAGUGCCACCAUUGAUUUAGGAUCUGCUUUAGAUCUUAUAAGGUGAAAGUAAAACACAAGGAAAUGCAUGCAUGCACACCACUAAUCUUUGAUUCUGGCGAGAACAGUGAUGACUACACUCAGAACCAUAUAGAAUUACAUUCCAAGAUGAAGAAAUUAAUAACAGAGCAGUGCUAUAAAGCUAAAUGUGAGAACCAAAGAUUAAUAAGCAAUGCUGAAAAUUUUAUCAUGCAUAAGAUGAGAGAAGCACAGGACAGAUUUUAUCAAAUCUAUAGUUUUUCUUCAAUAAUAAUAAUAUUUUUUAAAAAUUUAAUAAUAAUAAAAAAAAAAAACUCAUGUUCCUUGGCUCUUUCUCUUGCCAAACUGAAGCUACCAUAGUCAAAUCCAAGUAACUUAGAUGUCACGCUCUUGCUAAACCCAAGUUAUUUGGGUAUGACAUCUCAUGCUGGACUCAUAGCAUUCCAGAUCAAAGGUGUUGAUAUCUAACAAUAAUACCUCACCCGAGCCCUAAGAUGUGAUUGCUUUUCUAGACCCGAGGGCCAAGGCACCAAGACACUAUUCACUAUAAGUCAAGUCAAUGAAUCAAUCAAUCGAUUUUAAAGAUCAAGUUUUUUUUUUAAUAGAGAAACAAAACUUUUAUUAACAUUGAAAUAACUCUUAAAAUCUUAAUAAAAUUAAUUUGAAGUAAAAAUAAUAUUAAAAGAAAUAUUCAGAAGCACUUUUUGAUUGUAAAAUCAAACACACUAAAAUCAUGUAGAUUUUCAUUUAGACAUUAAAAUUCAAGAAGAAAUUAAGUUCACAGUACUAUUAAUUCAAUCGAUGAAGGAUUAGACCCAACUACUUUAGGGCCACCAUUGACAUUGAUUACUUUGAAUAAUUUUAAUUUAUAGGCAUAAAAAAUUAAUACAUAUCUUUAAGAGGAUCAAUUUUAGAUUAUCUCUCUCUCUCUCUCUCUAUUUUUUUUUUGGUUUUCAAAUAUUUGACAUUUUCGUUUAGAUAAGCUCUAGUGUGUGUUUUUUUAAGAUUAUUUUAAAUCAUGUUUCUUGAAAUGUCAAAAACAUUUCAUGGAUUAAUUUAACUUAAUAACGCCAAAGAAUUAGGAAUUAAAACUGACAAUUUCCACCAUGUAAGAGUACCUAAUUGAAAAUUUACUUUCUUAUCAUUUACCUCAAUUAAGCGGAAGCAUGAUCAUGAGAAGGGAUUUGGAGAAAGAAUUAUAAACAGAGAAUAAGAGAAAAUGUAAUGUGUAUAGAUUUUCUUAAUGAAUUAAUUAUGAUACAACAGAAGCUCAUAUAUAUAUAUAUAUACAUUCUAAACUAAUCAGUUAUGAAAUGUUAUUACAAAUAUAAUUUGAAUUUCAAUUUUAAAAUCAUGAUUAGUGCAGGUUUAUCAAUGCAGCAGAAUAUCCAUCAUAAACAAGAAGUUCACAGUUACAAAGUUUGAAUCUUUGUAACUGUAACUCUCUUUUGAAACUCUCUUCUUGGUCUUCAAUAUCCGUUAGCUAGCUGGAGAUGUAACAGUUACAAAGUUUGAAUCUUUGUAACUGUAACUCUCUUCUUGGUCUUCAAUGUCUGUCAGUUACAAAGUUUGAAUCUUUGUAACUGUAACUCUCUUAUGCUUAACAUUCCCCUGCAAACUGAUGGGGAUAGGAAUCACCAUCAAUUUGGACCGUAAAAACAUAAACCUUGCUGUAGUAUGACCUUUGGUGAAGACAUCUGCAAUCUGGUCAUAUGUUGAAAUAUAUCGUACAAGAAUAUCCUUAUUAAGAACUUUUUCACGGAUGAAGUGAUAAUCCACCUCUAUGUGCUUCGUUCGGGCAUGAAAAACAGGAUUAGAGGCAAGAGAUAUUGCACCUACAUUAUCACACCAUAGUGUAGGAGGUGACGACAAUGAAAUGCCAAGAUCUUGCAAUAACAUUCGAAGCCAAUAUAGUUCAGCAGUGACAAGAGCCAUGGAUCGAUAUUCGGCCUCAGUACUGGAUUUAGACACAACACUUUGUUUCUUUGCACUCCAGGAUAUGAGAUUUUGGCCUAGAAACACAAUAUAACCACUUGUAGAUUUUCUAUCAUCAGGAUUCCCAGCCCAAUCUGCAUCACAGAAAGCAUCUAAUGUUGUUGUCGAUUGAGUGUAGUGAAUACCAUAAUCAAUUGUUCCUUUCAAGUAACGAAGAACUCUUUUGGUAGCAAUCCAGUGUGGUUCUCGUGGAGCAUGCAUGAAUUGGCAUAAUUGGUUCACUGCAUAGCUGAUGUCAGGUCUUGUUAAAGUGCAAUAUUGAAGAGCACCAAUAACUUGAUGAUAUUCAGUUGGAUCAUUCAAUAUCCGUUAGCUAGCUGGAGAUGUAACAGUUACAAAGUUUGAAUCUUUGUAACUGUAACUCUCUUAUGCUUAACAUUUGGGAGGCACUUAGAUUAGGCUCUUCUCUAGUCUUGAGAAGCAAAACCAAUAGAGACGUGAUUGCGCACUCCCUGAGCUAUAUAGUAAGUGGCUGCAAACAAAUUGUCAGCACCAAUUCAGGUCCGGAAAAUUAAAGCAUUGAAGCAUAAAAGGUGACCUAACCUAAUUAAGCAAAUUACUACUUAUUCCAGCAUCACCUAGGAGUGAGACAGCCAGCCCAUCCAGUGUCUACAUGGUAAGGGAAUAAUUCCUUCAAGAAUGCAGAGAAAAUUAUACUUGCAAUACAACUAUAAACGAGAUGGUACAGUGCGGAAGGCAAGAUGUUAAAUCAAUUGAUCUUAUUAUAAUACUGUGAAAUAUGAUCAGGACAAAAAAAUAAAUAAAGAAAGAAAGAGUUGUUUAUUUUACAAUGAUCGAUAUGAUGCUUCUUUGCAUGUGGAAUCUUCGUCAAAGACUUGUUGAAAAUGCCAAAUUGUGAUCCACUUUUGGCUGUGUCAAAUGCAUGGGUGGGGCUUCACACAGAGCUAUUACCCCUUGUGUAAACUCAACGCCAGUUUUCAUGAGUUCUUUGGGAUUCUAACAUAGUAAAAAAAAGAAAGAUAAAAUAACAAAGUGUAAAGAAUAUUUAGUGAAAUAGAUAUUCGUGAUUAAUCAGUAGCAAUUAUUAUAUGCUGGCUCUCUCGGGUUUACUUGACAGAAGAUUUAUUAAAAAGAGUUGAUAAAGGAGAAAGAAAAGAAAAGAAAAUCUUCAAGGUAUAUCAAAACUCUGAUAAUAAUAUUAUUGGUAUUGUUAAAAAAAUCUCGACAAGACAAAUCGAAAAAUAACAAUGAAGGUCAUCAAUGACGAUAAAAAUAAGUCAUACGAGUGGCCCAAGAUAAGUGAGUUUUAAUACUUUUGAACAGCUUGUAUGAUUCAUUUUAUUCACUAUUUAUAAUCUUUUUUGAUGCUGUUAAAUUCAUCUUGUAAUGAUGUUGAUAAUGUUAUCAUUAUAAUUUCAAUGUAUUUUUAUUUUUAUUAUUAUUUUUUGUUUUGCUCUCUCUCCUCUCUCAUUGUAAUUUAUGAAGAGUAAGAGAGGGGGAAAAAAAAAACCCUAGUCUUCCAAUUUAAUCUGGCUGAAUACUACUAUCUCAAUCUUAUUCACUACUUUGUCAAAGCAAAGUAGAUUUUUCCUUAAAUAAGAUCUAAUCCACCGGCGGAUAGGUGAUCAAGAAUAUUAAAUUAGUGUAAAACUUGAUUUAAUUCAACAUUAUAAUUAGAGGUGCUAUAAUAAUGUGAAAAAAAGAAUAAAAAAACUAGAUGAUGGCGACCACAUAUCAAUAAUUCCAGACAUCACGUGGAGCACUUUCAUCAUCAUUAUUAUUAUUGGUAUAAUAAUGUUUGUUGUAUUAUUUUUUAAUUGUUAAGUUGUUUACUAUAUGUUAAAAUUUCAAGAUCUUCAAAGAUUGGGAAGAUCGGAUCUAAAGUUACUAUGGGACUGUCUUUAUUUUCCUAUUUGGAUUUUUUUAUUUAUAUUAAGAAUUUAAAUUUAAUUAGUAUUUUAUUAUUUAAAAAUUUUAAUGGUAAAUUGAUUCUAUUAGUUAGGUAAAUUUUAAAUAUAAAUUAUUUUUCUAUACAAAAUUUUAAAUCUAGAACUAAUAUAAAUAAAAAUAUUUAGUUUAUUUUUGUUCGAGGAUUCAUAUUAUUAUUUAAAUUUUUUUAUAAAUAUUUAGAGAUUUUUUCUAAUUUCCUAUGGUGUUAGGGAUUAUAACCUUAAGGUUUGGUUUGAAAUAAUGAUGACAGUUAUUUCUUAAAGUGUUUUUCACUUGAAAAUACAUUAAAAUAAUAUUUUUUUUAUUUUUUAAAUUUUUUUUUGAUAUCAGCAUAUCAAAACAAUUCAAAAACACCAAAAACUUAAUUUGAAAAAAAAUCAAAAUUUAUAAAAACCCCGGUUAAAAUGUUUUACCAAACACUUCUUAGUUUUUAAUAUUAAUACAUCAAAACAAUCCAAAAAUAUUAAUUUAAAAUUUUUAAAAACUCCGGUUGCGUUUGUAAGAUGUGUUGCGGCUCUCAACUUGCUACAAUGGCCUUUCUUUAAUAUUUUAUUUACACCAUUCAUGGAACCCUCUUUGCCUUCCACACAAAUCCCGGAUUUUGGUGAAACUGCUAAGAGGAAAAAUGAAGAGCUUUCCAAAGGCCAUGCUAAAACUACAAAGAAGUGAUCUCUACCUUUCCAGAAGUUAAAGGCUUUUGGGACGUUCCGCUCUUCUUGGGAAGACUCAUGUCAGUUCAAGAACACUACAAGCCUCAAUCCACUGAUAUAUUUGUCGCCAGCUUUCCAAAAACGAAGGAAAUCUUUGGUUAAUGUUCUCUGAAUCUCUCCUUUUCUCCUUCAAGAGUGAAAUUUAUGUGCCUUUCGUACCUUUUUACGUUAGAACAUUUCAUUUGUUCUUGUUUUCUAAAUUGAGUCUUUUCUAUGCGUUUUAUUAUUUUAUUUAUUGGGUAUUUGAGAGUGUAGUAAUAGUUAUAAUUUAAAGUGUUUUUAUUCAAAAAUAUAUUAAAAUAAUAUAUAUUUUUAAUUUUUUAAUAUUCAUCUUUUGACAACAUCACUCCAAAACAUUAGAAAACAUAAAAAAAAAAAAAACAAUUAGAAAACAAUUAGAAAACGCAAGAUUGCAUCAAUGCUAAAUGCAAUAUAUAUAUAUAGGUGCGCGCGCGCGCGUGUGUGAGAGAGAGAGAGAUCCACCUGUGUGUGAAAUGCAUAGUGAUGUUCCACAGCGAGCCAUUAUCUAUUAUGUAAAAUCUCUGAGAAAUGUCAUAGAUCAAUUGGUCGAUAUAGCAAAUUGAUAGGUUAAAGCUGCUCAUAAUCAAUACCUCUAAAAGAUUAUCUUUGGUGGAGAUGAAAACUUUUUGAUAUGUAAAUAAGUAUUUAAAAAAAAAUUAAAUAUUCUAUAAAGAGAUGUUCUGAAAAUACAAAUGCAGUAGAGAAUUGGAGAUUGUGAAUCUUUAUUAUGAAGGUCUCAUGAUAUAUUUAUAGCUCGAAUCUUGUCAUUUUGUGAAAAUAAGAGUUUGCAGUGUAAUUAACCUGAUAACAUUUAAUGAGGAAUAAAUAUCAUUUACAUGAUGGGAAUAUGGUGGGUCCUCGAAGGAGUUUUAUACACCUUAAAAGGUAUCAGAAAAUUAGAGUUUAAGAUAUCAAGUGUAGCUGAGCUUAUAGAGAUCAAGUUCUUUCUUGAGAUUAAAUCCAAGGGAGGUUUGUCAUUCCCCUGGACAUGCCAAGGAAGAAUGGUUAUUAUCUUGGACUUGGUUGGUUGCCAAAUCCAAGCAUCUUGGGCAUGACAUGCGUGCCAGAUCCACACUACCUUGAAGUUGGAGCACUACUAAGUCCAAGCGCCUCGGGUCUGACAUGCAUGCCAGACUUAUACUACGCUGGACUUGGUGCAUUACUAAGUCCAAAUGCCUUGGGUCUGAUAUGCCUGUUAGACCUAUAUUAUCUUGGGCUUGACGCAUUACUAUAUUCAAGCACCUUGAACUUAAUUAAUUGUCAAGUCCAUGCAUCUUAGAUUUAGAUCUAACAUAUACACUAGACUCAUAUUACAUUGAAUCUAGCGCAUUACAAAGUUAUAAUGCCUUGAAUUAAGUAUAUGUGCCACAUCCAUACAUUUUAAAAAACCAAACGAAAACUAAAUAAAAAGUUGACUCAUCGCUAAUCUAUAAAUACUAUCUACAUAAUGGCCUUAGUUGAUAUCUUCUACCGCUUACUACAUUUACUUGAAUAAUGAAAAUGUUUUUUUUUUUUAAUGGAAAAGAGAUUUUAACUCCAUCUUCAAUUACUAUAUAAAUGUUUCCUUGGGUUUUGAAAACGCAAUCAUGCUAAAAAUUUAUUAUCUAAUAUAAAAUAAAAUGUAUUUGUUUUUAUAUUUUAAAAAUGUUUUUUUUUUAAUUUUUUAAUUUUCAUCUUGUUUUGAUGUGUUAAUAUUAAUAAUAAAUUUUAAAAAUAAAAAAAAUAUUAUUUUAAUAUAUUUUUUAAAUUAAAAAUAUUUUAAAAAAUAACUAUUACAACAUUAACGAAUAAGAUUUAAUAUAAAAAACAUUCUAAUUGCAUCAGCUGAGAGGUGAUCAACAAUACCGCAUUCCCGAACUUCACAUCCCUAUAUUAAUGGAUUGUGUUGUGGGCUCCACGCCAUUUAAAGCUUGUAAGAGAAACCACACCUCUAAAUAGAAACCACACGAUCACGCUAAAAGAUUUGCUAUCGAAUAUAAUAUGAAAUAAAACCCAAUUGCAUCAGCGGACAUGUGAUCAAUAAUAUUAAAAUAAGGUAAUAGUUGAUGGGCCACAAAUUAAACCAGCUCUCAACUCGCUACAAAUAGCUGCCAUGGCCUUUCAUUCUACGUUAUAUUUUCAUUUUUUACAUUCAUGGAAUCCUCUUUGCCUUCCACCCAAAUCUCGGAUUCUGGUGACAGUGCAGAGAGGAAAAAUGAAGCUAAAAAUUACAAUGAAGUGAUGUCCACCUUUCCGAAAGUUAAAGGCUUGAAUGGGUAUGAUUAUUACCUGUACCAAGGCUUUUGGUACGCUCCCUUCUUCUUGGAAGGACUCUUGUCUGUUCAAGAGCGCUUCAAUCCUCAAUCCACUGAUAUAUUUGUCGCCAGUUGUCCAAAAACUGGCACAACUUGGCUUAAGGCCCUCACUUUUGCUAUUUUCACACGAUCCCGUUUAAGUGGUUCAACAACUAGUUCUUUACUUACCAAGAUGCCACAUGACUGUGUUCCUUUUUUGGAAUAUCACCUUGCUCAAAACCCCAGUAAUCGGGACUUGGCAAUUCCUCUGGUAUCUACUCAUGUUCCUUGCACUUGUUUACCUAAAUCUAUCAUUUCUUCUUGUUGCAAGAUUAUUUACAUUUCCAGGGACGCAAAGGAUGCUUUUGUUUCUUUGUGGUACUUUCUUGCCAGGCUGCAAAUGUCGAAAAAUGUUGAACCUCUUCCUCUGGAAGAGGCAUUUGAGUUGUUUUGCAAUGGAAUUGCAAAUUUUGGACCAUAUUGGGACCAUGUUUUAGGGUAUUGGAGAGCAAGCUUCGAGUUCCCUGAUAUUGUUCUUGACAUACGAGGAAAUGAAGAAAGACACCGCUGCUCAUGUUAAGAAACUAGCUGAGUUCAUGGGUUGUUCUUUCUGUUGCAUUAAACUCAAUCUAGAAGGUUAAGGAAGGCAACCACCACUUGCAGCCACUAGCUGUCACCGCCUAGCCGCCAGCCGUCUUCAUACUUGAAAGUUGAAUUAUCUUGUUUUUGAAUUCUGUGUAUAAAUAGAUAGCUAAGUGGAUGUUAUUCUGUGUGGAAAGAGAAGAAAGAAACACUAGAGAGAAAGAGAGAGGGAGUGUGUAGCUUUUGUUUAAUUAUUGUAAGCUUUUAUUGUUGAAAUAAAACAGUGUGUUUUAUCUCUUCUGAGUGUUUCAAAGCCACCACCAGUGGUUUCUCCCACCAACAAUUGGUAUCAGAGCCUCGUUCGUCACAAAACACAAGUAUUUUGGGAGAUACACGAAUUUUCAAAGUUGUCAAAAACAAUUUUUGAUCAUUCCACAAUGUAGAGCUCAUCCAUACGAACUCACUGGUGCAAAAAUCAGCUUCAUCGGAGCCCGAGGUGAUCCCCACGCGCCUCCUGAAAUUCCGGUAACUGUAGCCCAGUCUCACCCACGCGCUCCAGAGGUUGAAGACGCCAGAGGUUGAAGACGAGUGUCGUCCACGCGCGCCAUAUUCGAGCCGAUCCCCAGCCGAGCCGAUCUUUAGCCUCAGCCGAGCCGAUAGAAUAUUCCCCAGAAUAUUCCCGGUUCAACCCCAGCGAACCGCCUAACGUCCAGAAUCGGUUUUCAGACCGGUUCAGCCUAUUUCUGACCCAUUUUCAUCCAAGUCAGGCCGGUUCCCUACUGUUUUGAGCAUUCUGGAUCCAUCUACGGUGUCUGUUUUGCCAAAUUCAACUCCCAGAAGGUGAUAUAGUCAUUCAAAAAGCAAAAUGACUACAGAAAAUGCACAAACACUCAUCCCGAAGCUGACCAAAGACAACUAUGAUAGUUGGUGUAUCAGAUUGAAGGCAUUUCUUGGUUUACAAGAGUGUAUAGAGAUUGUGCAAUAUGGUUAUGAUGAACCAGAGUCUAAAGAAGUAGAAGAUACUUUAAAUGAGGCAGAAAAGCAAGUCCUCAAAGCAAAUAGAAAGAAAGACAACAAAGCAAAGACCAUAAUCUAUCAAGGUCUUGACGAAGCUAUAUUCGAAAUUAUUGCUUCCGCAGAAACAUCAAAAGAGAUAUGGGAGGCUCUCCAACAAAAAUACAAAGGUGCUGACAGAAUCAAGAAGAUUCGUCUCCAAUCUUUGCGAGGUGAGUUUGAAUUAUUGCAAAUGAAGGCCUUAGAAUCUAUUUUUGACUAUCACACAAGAAUUAUGGUGAUAGUCAAUCAGAUGAGAAGAAAUGGAGAAGCCCUCACAGAUGCUCGGAUUACAGAGAAAAUUUUGAGAUCCCUAUAUCCAAAAUUUUAUUUUGUUGUUGUCGUUAUUGAAGAGUCCAAAGAAGUGGACAAGUUGAUGGUGGAUGAGCUUAUGAGUUCUUUGCAAGCUCAUGAGCAAAAGAUCGUGAAAAGAAAUGGAGAUAAGGCAAUUGAGCAUGCCUUACAAGCAAAGUUGUCUCUCAAAGACAGAUAUGAGCAAGGGGAGACUUCAAUAAGUGGAUAUACCACUCAAGGAAGAAGUCCACAAAGACGAGGAGGAUUUCAGCAAUUCCAAGGAAGAGGAUCUUGGAAUACAGGUUUUAGAGGAAGAGGUGGCAGAUAUACCACUAGAGGAGGCCGAGGACAACAAUCAUUCACUCCUAAAGGAAGAGGAGGCGGUUACAAUAACCGUGACAAGAGGAAUAUCCAGUGUUAUAAGUGCAAUCAAUUUGGGCACUAUAGCAUUGAAUGUCAAAGGAAAGCUCCAUUAGAGGUACGUGAGCAUGCAAACUAUGCAGAGGAGGAUGCCAACAGCAGAGGAGCAGCUGCAUUAUUUGUCCAACAAGGACUUGACAAGAAUCAAGAGAAUAUUUGGUAUCUUGAUUCUGGAGCCAGCAAUCACAUGUGUGGCCAACGAGAUCUAUUUGGCGAUCUAGAUGAGACCAUACAAGGUCUAGUCACCUUUGGAGAUACAUCAAAAGUUCCAUUCAAAGGUAAAGGCAACAUCCCAAUCAAGUUGAAGAAUGGCGAUCAUAGCUACAUCGCCAAUGUCUACUAUGUCCCAGCCAUAAAGCAAAACUUGGUGAGCAUAGGUCAACUUCUAAAGAAAGGUUAUACACUUUUCAUGAAGAAUUGUCAUCUGACAGUUACAGACUACAAUGGGAGAUUAAUUGCCUAUGUGAAAAUGUCCAAGAAUAGGAUGUUUCCUUUAAACAUCCAAUAUGAUGCAGCAAAGUAUUUGAGUGCCAUCACCAACAGUGAAGAGUGGCUUUGGCACCUGAGGCUUGGACAUCUGAAUUUCACAAGUCUGAAGAUGCUAGCAAGCAAGAAGAUGGUCAAAGGUAUGCCCCACAUUGAUCAUCCAGAUGAAGUCUGUGAGAGUUGUGUCCUCAGCAAACAUCACAGAUCCAAUUUUGCCAAAGAAGUCAACUGGAAAGCAAACAAGCCACUGGAGUUAGUGCACACAGAUGUGUGUGGUCCCAUAAAGCCUAUGUCGACUGGACCAAAUAGGUACUUCCUUACUUUCAUUGAUGAUUUUAGCAGAAAGACGUGGAUAUACUUUCUGAAGAGGAAGUUAGAAGUGUUCAAUUGUUUUAAAGAUUUUAAAGCAAUUGUUGAGAAGCAAAGUGGCUAUAAGAUCAGAACCGUGAGAUCUGAUCAAGGUGGAGAAUAUACAGCAAAUGACUUUGAAGCCUUUUGUACACAACAAGGCAUCAAACAUCAGACAACACCAGCUUAUACACCACAGCUGAAUGGUGUAGCUGAAAGAAAGAAUCGAACGAUUCUUGACAUGGCGAGAAGUCUACUCAAAGCAAAGAAGCUGCCCAAACAAUACUAGGCUGAAGCUGUAUCAUGUGCAGUGUAUCUACUGAAUCGCUGCCCAACCAAAAGUUUGCAAGCUGUCACUCCACAAGAAGCAUGGAGUGGUCACAAACCAAGUGUUACUCAUCUUCGAGUCUUUGGUUGUGUGGCAUAUGCAAAGAUCCCAGAUGCAAGAAGGACCAAACUCGAUGAUAAAAGCGAGAAAUGCAUCUUUGUCGGAUAUGGUGAGAGAAAGAUGGGAUACAAGCUGUAUAAUCUCAUCACAAAGAAGGUAAUUAUGAGUAGAGAUGUUAUCUUUGAAGAAGAUAAAACAUGGCAAUGGAAGGAUGACCAAGAAGCAGUCAAAUGGAUCAGCACUGAUUUGAUCCUUGAAGAUGAAGUGGAAGUACCACCAGUACUUGCAGAAGGUCUGAUAUUACCGGCAGAUGAGCCACAAAGUUCGGUACACAGAUUCCCUGUAUUCAACAGGAGAAACACACCAGAAUCAUCAUCAGCAUCCUCAUCAGAAGGACCAAGAAGGAUGAGAAAUCUAGACGAGUUGUACGAUGUCAUGCAAGUCAUGGAAGAUACAACUCUAUUUUGUUUCUUUACAGAUACUGACCCACUUAGCUUCAAUGAAGUUAUCAAAGAAGAGAAGUGGAUAUAAGCAAUGGAUGAAGAAAUACAUGCUAUUGAGAAGAAUGACACCUGGAAGCUGACUAAUCUACUAGAAAACAAGAAAGCAAUAGGUGCCAAAUGGGUCUAUAAGACAAAGAAGAAUGCAAAAGGAGAAGUGCAAAGAUACAAAGCAAGAUUAGUAGCAAAAGGCUACAAAUAAAGAGAAGGCAUUGACUAUGGAGAAGUAUUUGCUCCAGUAGCCCGGCUAGAGACAAUCAGACUGAUGAUCUCACUAGCUGCACAACAUAGAUGGAAGAUCUAUUAACUCGAUGUGAAGUCAGCAUUUCUGAAUGGCUUCCUAGAAGAAGAGAUCUAUGUUGAACAACCACUUGGAUACAUCGAAGCUGAAAAUGACGGCAAAGUAUACAAGUUGAAGAAAGCUCUCUACGGUUUGAAGCAAGUUCCGCGUGCUUGGAAUACCAGAAUUGACAGGUAUUUUCAAGAAAAUGAAUUUGAAAAAUGUCCAUAUGAACACGCAAUAUAUGUGAAGAAAGAAGCAGAUAACAACAUAUUAUUUGUGUGCCUAUAUGUUGAUGAUUUGCUAUUCACCGGCAACAACCCAACCAUGUUUGAAGCCUUCAAGAAAAGCAUGGUACAAGAGUUUGAGAUGACAGACAUUGGUCUGAUGGCACACUUUCUUGGCUUAGAAGUGGUGCAGAAAGAAGAAGGGAUUUUUGUAUCCCAAAGCAGUUAUGCCAAAGACAUUCUUGAAAGGUUCAAGAUGGAAAGCUGCAAUCCGGUAUCAACUCCAGUUGAGAAUGGAGUAGAAUUGAGGAAGAGUAAAGUUGGAAAUGUUGAUCCAACUUACUUCAAAAGCUUAGUAGGAAGCUUAAGGUACUUGACAUGUACCAGACCGGAUAUACUCUACGGAGUUGGUCUUAUCAGCAGAUACAUGGAGACACCAGACCAGUCUCACUUGAAUGCAGCCAAGAGAAUUCUUCGCUACAUCAAAGGAACAAUCAAUGAAGGUAUGUUUUAUACCUCAAGUACAAACUUCAAUCUUGUUGGCUACUCGGAUAGUGAUUGGGGUAGAGAUCUGGAUGAAAGGAAAAGCACAACAGGGUUUGUCUUUUUCAUGGGAAAUACAUUUUUCACAUGGUCAUCCAAGAAGCAAUCGAUAGUAACGUUAUCAAGCUGUGAAGCUGAGUAUGUUGCUGCCAACUCAGCUGUAUGCCAUUUAAUAUGGUUAAGAAAUAUGCUGAAGCAUUUGGGAUUUCCUCAAGAAGAUCCCACAGAGAUUUAUAUUGAUAAUCGAUCAGCGAUUGCAUUAGCAAAGAACCCGGUGUAUCAUGAACGAAGUAAACACAUUGAUACACGUCAACACUUUAUCCGAGAGCAUAUAAAGAACAAAGAAGUCGAGCUGAUAUCCUGCAAGACAAAUGAUCAAGUUGCAGAUAUCUUUACAAAGCCAUUGAAGGGAGAAACAUUUAUCAGACUGAAGUUCAUACUUGGCGUGACAUCCCUCGAUUAAGUUUAAAGGGGGGAUUUGUUGCAUUAAACUCAAUCUAGAAGGUCAAGGAAGGCAACCACCACUUGCAACCACCAGCUGUCACCGCCCAGCCACAAACCGCCCAGCCGCCAGCCACUAGCUGUAUGCCGCCAGCCUCCAGCCGCCUUCACACUUGAAGGUUGAAUUAUCUUGUUUUUGAAUUCGUGUAUAAAUAGGUAGCUAAGUGGAUGUUAUUCUGUGUGGAAAGAGAAGAAAGAAACACUAGAGAGAAAAGAGAGGGAGUGUGUAGCUUUUGUUUAAUUAUUGUAAGCUUUUAUUGUUGAAAUAAAACAGUGUGUUUUAUCCCCUCUGAGUGUUUCAAAGCCACCACCAGUGGUUUCUCCCACCAACACUUUCACCUUAGAGGAAGAGGAGGAAGGGGAGGUGCAAAAGAUAAUAAGCAUGUGUAGUUUUGAGAAGUUGAGCAACUUGGAGGUGAAUAAAAAUGGGAAGCACCGUCCGGACACAUCAAUUGCUAUUCAAAACAGUGUAUACUUCAGGAGAGGUGAGAUAGGCGACUGGGCAAAUCACUUGACACCUGAAAUGGGAGCACGUCUAGAUGACAUAAUGGAGCAGAAACUCAAGGGUUCAGGCUUGAAGCUGCCGAGGUGAAUGUGCCUAGGGUCCCAUUUGCUUGUGAUUAUUGCCGAAGCGGGUUCAUCAAAAGCUGUUAUCAACAUCUCGUGAAACAGCAACUGUGUAUCCCAAUAAAUACCCUCUCUGUUCAUCUCUUGUAUUUCCCAGCAAGUAUUCACAUUUUGUGAAUCAUCCAUGUCAAUAAGCAAUGUUCUUUGUGAAUCUGUGUUUUUGACUUUCAUUCAUUUCCUUGCAUGCUUGUAAGAAUUAAAAAUUGGAUUCGUUUUUUUUAUUUAUUUAUUUAACACAAGUUCAUGCAUUCCAUUAAUCAGUUCGAUAAAAAAUAAAUUUAGUCUAAUAUAUAAUAUUAGAGUGUUUUCUUCACAGAAAUUGCAGUGUGUUUUCUUCAGUUAUACAUGUUUUAAAAGAACCGAGACAACCAUCCAUUAAGAUUGUUGAAUUGCAGAUCAAAUGAACGUAGGCGGCACAUCUGCUGAAAGGAUCUCGAAAUGCCUUGUAAUUGGUUAAAAUAAAGAUCAAGAUCUGUAGGAGAACUCGUGUUUUCCACUCCUAAAAUAAGCCCAGUUGCCGGCUUCAUGUGCAACAGAGGCACAUAGAGAAUCUGAAAGCAGUUUUUAUGCACUGUCAGCAGAAUAAUUUGAUCAGUCAGAAUGAUUCCCCCCCUCUAGGGCUCAGAUCACAAUUCUUCCUUGAAACAAAUCUUUUGGAACCGAUAUGUGGAGGGAUGGCUUGAUUUAUACCGGAGAUUUUGUUGGAAAAUUAAAGAAGCAUGGCUUAAUUUGUACCUUGGAUGCGCAAAUUGAUUAGAGGGAAAAAAUGACAGAAAGUGAGUUACAGGGAAUGAAAAAGGCAUUAGUAAACUCAACACCUUUCAGGGCAUCGUUCCUUGGUUUACUCCGUUUUAUUUCUUAUUUUGUUUUUCCUGCCAUUGUCUAAUGUUUUUCGAACUCACAGUCUGGUCUCUGCAGAGAAUGAGAAAGCACAAAUUCUUUAAGAGAAGAUAUUCUCCGGCAAUGGCAUCAAACGGAAAAGUCCGACGUCAACUAAGUGUGUGUUUGGUGUUGCGGCCGUGUUUACAAAAAAACAUCGUUGUCAUGUGUUUGGUUACGGUCUAAACACAAUUUUCUAUUUGUGGGACCCAUUACUAUUUGCAUUUAAACUGCAAGAUAACCGGAAGCAACUUCAAGUUGCUUUUUAUGAUUAGUUGCAAACUAUGUUAUAAACAGAGGCCACAAGAAAAAGAGCAGAAAUAGAGCAGUGAAUAGUGAACAGUAGAGAGCAGCUGCCUCUCACCACCAACCUCCACCGUUUUCACUGCCAGCCACUGCUCUUCCUCUUCCCCUUCUCCCUUUCACGUGAACUGUGGAGAGUGGAGAGCAGCUCACCACCGACCUCCGCUGUUUCCAUCGCCAGCCACUGCUCUUCCUUUUCCCCUUCUCCUUUUCACGUGAAUAGUGGAGAGUGGAGAGCAGCUCACCACCGACCUCUGCUGUUUCCAUCGCCAGCCACUGCUCUUCCUCUUCCCCUUCUCCUUCAUCUUUUACGUUCUCCACUGUUAAUGUGAACAGUGGAAAGCAGCUCAUUACCGGCCUCUGCCAUUUUCACCGCCAGCCACUGCUCUUCCCCUUCCCCUUCCCCUUCGUCUUCUGCAUUCUCCACUGUUCACGUUGCAUGUGAACAGUGGAGAGUAGCUCACCACCGGCCUCCAUUGUUUCCACCGCCAGCCAUUGCUCUUCCUCUUCCCCUUCUCCUUCUCCUUCAUCUUCUGUAUUCUCCACUGUUCACGUGAACAGUGGAGAGCGUCUCCACUGUUCAUGACCGGACCGAGUCAAACCCAAACCUAAAUGCAUUGGACCGGGUCCGACCCAAUAAAAUUAAAAAAAAUCCAAAAAAAUUUCUUAGAUAUUGUGUUUUAUUUGAAAAACUAGUGUUUAAAAUUAUUCAAUGGCACUACAUAAUUAUAUUAGGAGAUCGCAUGAUAACGUAACAUUUGCAUAAUUUGAUUGCAAUCCCAAUUUUGUUCCUAAUGAUAUUUUACCCAAUGUGAUGAUAUUUUACCUGAUGUUGGUGCACAUUCAGGAAGCCAUGAAAACUAUAGUUCUUGUCGGAUGGAUUUCGUACGUGAUUGAAUUGCAAAUAGUUUAAUAAAACAAUAAAAAAUACUUUAUAUAAAGUAUUGUUUAUUUCAUGAUUUAAUAGCAGUAGUUAAAUCUAUAAUAUUUCAAUUAAAAACCAUCAAUAUUAAUAUAUGUUUUUUUUAAUUAUUUUAUAACCUUAAUUUGAAAAAUAUUCUUUAAACCAAACACAUUAAACUACUUUUUGUUCAACCUCAAUUUCAACCACAAUUUUAACCAAAUAUAUAUUUUUUCAAACCAACCUCAACUAAAAGUAAUUUUUAUAAAAACAACUUUUUCAAACUAUAACCACAACAGCUACCACAAUUCCAAAUACACACAAAGAAAACUGUACUGAUAAGCAAGUUAAAGUGCCACCAUUGAUUUAGGAUCUGCUUUAGAUCUUAUAAGGUGAAAGUAAAACACAAGGAAAUGCAUGCAUGCACACCACUAAUCUUUGAUUCUGGCGAGAACAGUGAUGACAACCAUAUAGAAUUACAUUCCAAGAUGAAGAAAUUAAUAACAGAGCAGUGCUAUAAAGCUAAAUGUGAGAACCAGAGAUUAAUAAGCAAUGCUGAAAAUUUUAUCAUGCAUAAGAUGAGAGAAGCAUAGGACAGAUUUUUCCCUCAAAUGAUUAACUAGAAUACGAGUUGCACUUCAAUUUUAAAGCUGAAAGAUGAAACAAUCAUACAAGCUCACACCUCUAUAACAGAGUGACAGUUCAUGGUGACCUCAAAGACUGCAUCAAGUCCUCCAAGCUCUCGUAACUUUUCCUUAAAGUCCCCCCCCAGUCUUCCUUGCCAUGCCAGAUGUAUCUGAAUGAAUGCAACCCAUACAGUGAAAUAAAUAAGCAAUCAGAAAAGGAGAGAGAGAGCUGUGUGAAUAAAGAAUUGUCACAAAACUAGAUGAUGGCGACCACAUAUCAAUAAUUCGAGACAUGACGUGGGGCACUUUCAUCGUGAUUAUUGUCUGUACAAUAAUGUUUGAUGCAUUAUUUCUUGUUAAGACUUUUUAGGUUGUGAAAAGUCCAAGAUGUAGCUUUUGAUUUUAUCAUUUAUAUUAAAUUGAAAUUUUGACAUAAAAUUCUAAAGAUUUUGUGGUUAAAAUUUCAAGAUCUUCGAAGAAAGACCUUUAAAUAAGGAUUUAAAGUUAUUAUGAGAUGGUCUUUAUUUACCUAUUUAGAUUUUUUUAUUUAUAUUAAAAAUUUUAAUUCAAUUAGUAUUUUACUAUUUAAAAAUUCUAAUAAUAGAUUGAUUAUAUUAAUAAUACAAAUUAUUUUUCUAUACAAAAUUUUAUUUCUAGAAUUAAUAUAAAUAAAAAUAUUUAGUUUAUUUUUUUGUUCAGGAUUCAUAUUAUUAUUUAGAUUUUUUAUAAAUAUUUAGAGAUUUUUUUUAUUUUGCUACUGUGUUAGGACUAUAACUUUAAGGUUUGGGUGUUUGGGAAAGUUAUAGCGGUUACGUUUUAAAGUGAUUUUUAUUUAAAAAUACAUCAAAAUAAUAUAUAUUUUUUAUUUUUAAAAUUAAUUUUUGACAUCAAAACAAUGCAAAAACACCAAAAAAUUAAUUUGAAAAAAAAUUAAAAUUUUUGAAAACCUUGAUUAAAAUGUUGUACCAAACACCCUCUUAGUUUUAUCUUAUUUUUAAAAAAAUAAUUCUUAACAUUAGCAAUCAAAACAAUCUAAAAACAAAAAAAUAAUUUUAAAAAAAUCAAAAUCUUUAAAAACUCCCGUCUAAAUGUUUCCUUUUAGUUUUAUCAUUGUUGCACUGCGUAAUGAUGCUCAAAAGGAAAUAGUUGAUAUAGCCGUACUUGGGGUAUUUAAGAAUGUGAUAGCGGUUACUUUUUAAAAUGUUUUUCGUUUAGAAAUGUAUCAAAAUAAUAUUUUUUUAUUUUUAAAAAAUUAUUUUUGAUAUCACCAUAUCAAAAUGAUAUGAAAACACUAAAAAAAUAUUAAUUUAAAGUAAAAAAAAUAAAAAAAAUUAAUCUUUUAUUAAAAUAUUUUUGAAAUACAGAAAUACUACGAGCUCUCAACCUGCUACAAAUAACUGCUGCAAUGGCCUUUCUUUAAUAUUUUACUUACACCAUUCUGCAAAAUAUUUUCUUUUGUACAUCCAUGGAACCCUCUUUGCCUUCUACACAAAUUCAAAGUCCAUGCUAAAAACUACAAAGAAAUGAUCUCUACCUUUCCAAAAGUUAAAGGCUUUUGGUACUUUCCGUCCUUCUUGGGAACACUCAUCUCAGUUCAAGCAAUCCACUGAUAUAUUUGUCGUCAGCUUCCAAAAACGAAGGAAAUCUUUGGUUAAGUUAAAACUCCUUUUCUCCUUCAACAGUGAAAUUCACGUGCCUUUCACACCUUUUUAAGUUCGAACAUUUCAUUUGUUCUUGUGCUCUAAAUUGAGUCUUUUUUGUGAGUUCUAUUAUUCUACUGUGUUUGGUUUAGCUUUUGUAGUUGAGGUUGUGGUAGGGUACAUGUACAAAACUCAACCACAAAAGCUAAUUUUUCUUGUUUUUUAUGGCUUUUUUAGUGGGUUCCACACUCAACCUCAACCUCCAUCUCAAAUACAAACACACACUAAAAGAUUAGAAAACGCAAGAUUGCAUCAAUGCUAAAAGCAAUUUCAAUCUCAAUGUGUGUGUCAAAUGCAUGGUGAUGUUUCAUGAUAUGUUUGUUUUGACGUUUCAAAAAUAUUUUUUUUAAACUGAAUUUUUUUAAUUUAUUUUUCGCUUCAAAUUAAUAUUUUUUGUUUUUUCAGAUUAUUUUGAUGUACUGUUGUUAAAAAUAAUUUUUUUUAAAUAAAAAAUAUUAUUUUAAUACAUUUCCGAGCAAAAAUCACUUUAAAAAAUAAUUGUUAUUACACUUCCAAACACAUCUUUAAAAGGACAAAGUUAUGGAGUUGAGGGCUCUAAAUAUUCCUCAAAAUAUCUGGCCUCAAAGCUAUUAUCGAGUCUUAAAGCUUUUGCUUUUUAUAUUGUUUUGAUGUAAAAAAUAAAUUUUAAAAAUAAAAAAAUAUUAUUUUAAUAUAUUUUUAAAUAAAAAAAUAUUUUAAAAAACAAUUACAGUAAAAUAACAAAUAAAAUAUUAAUAUGAAAUAAAAUCUAAUUCUACCAGCAGACAGCUGAUAAGAAUACUAAAAGAGUGUAAAUUUUGACUUAAUUCAAUAUUUCAAUUAUUAGAAUUUGGGGCAGCGUAACAGUGUCAAAGAAAAUGUCAGAAAAGUAAGGAAAACAGUACAAAUACCUUGGAUGAUGGUGACCAAAUAUUUGUAAUUUGAGACAUCUCGUUCUUGAAAAGAAUAGUUAAUAGUGCCAAUAAUAUUUUUUUUUAUUCACGUGACGGGUGAGCUUGUGUGUAUCUCGAUUAAUUCCCACGAAUCCUGAAAUUAAUGAUCAGGUAAGUUUCCAGUGGUCAUCAAUAUUAACAACCAUAUGGCUCGAACCUGAGACCACAAGGAGGAGCAAACCUCUUGAUCUCAAACUCUUACUAUUAGACUGCCUAUUAGAUGGUUAGUGCUAAUAAUUAAUCUGCUCUUGACUUGCUACAAAUAGCUGUCAUGAUCACAUAUUCAAAAAACACUAGUUUAUAAAUUCUAAGGGUAUCUCAACUAGUUAGACUUUAAGUAUGUUUUCCAAUAAUUAUGAGUUCGAGUCCUUUUAAGAUAAUUGAAGGUUUACACGGCGUUAACUUCAGGACCCAUAAAAUUAAUCGAGAUAUAUACAAGUUGAUUCAGAUAACCAUAUUAAUUUAAAAAAACAAACACUAGUCUAGAAAAGCAAUAUACAAGGUGAUUUUUUAGUUGACUAGUUGAAUCUGAUUUUUAUAAAAAGUAAUAUUUUAGAAGAUAAUUUUUAAUAAUUUUAGAUUUUUUAAUAUAUAAAUAUCAAAAAUAAAUUUUAAAAAAUAAAAAAAUAUUAUUUUAAUAUAAUUUUAAAUAAAAAAACAUUUGAAAAAACAAUUAAUAGUAUACUCUCAACUACCCCAAAAUAUAGGAUUAAAUUGGAUUGCGGGUUCCCCACCAUUUAAAGCUUGCAAAGAAGGAUUUGAAACACAAUCACCCUAAAGAUUUGCAAAUGGAAUAUAAUAUAAAAUAAUACCCAAUUGCAUCAGCGGACAUGUAAUCAAUAAUAUUAAAAUACGGUAAAUUUUGAUUUAAUUCAAUUAUUGGAUUCUAGGCAGCGUGACAAUGUCAGAAAAUCUUGGAUGAUGGUGACCAAACAUAUCAGUAAUUUGAGACAACACGUUCCCGAAAGGUAAUAGUUGAUGGUGCCAAAAUUUAAACCAGCUCUCAACUCGCUACAAAUAGCUGCCAUGGCCUUUCAUUCUACCAUAUAUUUAUUUUUUAACUUUCAUGGAAUCCUCUUUGCCUUCCUCCCAAAUCUUGGAUUCUGAUGGAAGUGCUGAGAGGAAAAAUGAAGCUACAAAUUGCAAUGAAGUGAUGUCCACCCUUCCAAAAGUCAAAGGCUUGAGGGGGGAUGAUUAUUACCUGUACCAAGGCUUUUGGUACGAUGCCUUCUUCUUGGAAGGACUCAUGUCUGUUCAAGAGCACUUCAAUCCUCAAUCCACUGAUAUAUUUGUCGCCAGUUUUCCAAAAACUGGCACAACUUGGCUUAAGGCCCUCACUUUUGCUAUUUUUACACGAUCCCGUUUAAGUGGUUCAACAACUAGUUCUUUACUUACCAAGAUGCCACAUGACUGUGUUCCUUUGUUGGAAAAUGACCUUGCUAAAAACCCCAGUAAUCGGGACUUGGCAAUUCCUCUGCUAUCUACUCAUGUUCCUUACAGUUGUUUACCUAAAUCUAUCAUUUCUUCUAGUUGCAAGAUUAUUUACAUUUGCAGGGACGCAAAGGAUGCUUUUGUUUCUUUGUGGUACUUUCAUGCCACGCUGCAAAGGUCGAAAAAUGUUGAGCAUCUUCCUCUGGAAGAGGCUUUUGAGCUGUUCUGCAAUGGAAUUGCAAAUUUUGGACCAUACUGGAACCAUGUUUUAGGGUAUUGGAGAGCAAGCUUGGAGUUCCCUGAGAAGAUAUUGUUCUUGACAUAGGAGGAAAUGAAGAAAGACACAGCUGCUCAUGUUAAGAAAGUAGCUGAGUUCAUGGGUUGUUCUUUCACCUUAGAGGAAGAGGAGGGAGGGGAGGUGCAAAAGAUAAAAAGCAUGUGUAGUUUUGAGAAGUUGAGCAACUUGGAGGUGAAUAAAAAUGGGAAGCACCGUCCGGACACAUCAAUUGCUAUUCAAAACAGUGUAUACUUCAGGAGAGGUGAGAUAGGCGACUGGGCAAAUCACUUGACACCUGAAAUGGGAGCACGUCUAGAUGACAUAAUGGAGCAGAAACUCAAGGGUUCAGGCUUGACGCUGCCCAGGUGACUGUGCCUGGGCCCCGUUUGCUUAUGAUUAUUGGCUCAGUGGG
RNAcentral lists this long non-coding RNA (32339 nucleotides) under Populus trichocarpa (black cottonwood). RNAcentral's name for it is "long non-coding RNA (PTRI_LNC002684)". Lineage: Eukaryota; Viridiplantae; Streptophyta; Magnoliopsida; Malpighiales; Salicaceae. The record is from RNAcentral.